RNA transcript from Triticum aestivum (bread wheat), 2498 nucleotides. RefSeq lists it as uncharacterized. Lineage: Eukaryota; Viridiplantae; Streptophyta; Magnoliopsida; Poales; Poaceae. The record is from RefSeq and is a predicted model, not a curated record. The transcript has 7 exons.
AGCCCAACCACCCAAACCCUAACCCAGAUCCACUCCCACUCCAGCCGCCGCUGCCCCCUUCUCCCUCCCAGAUCCAAUCCAAGUCAGAACCCCUCGCCCUCCCGUCCCCGGCCUCCAUCUCCAUUCCUGCGCGUGUCGGACACCUCCCUCCGGCAGAGCUCGACCCACACCGCCAAGCGCCGCUGCUCCACCCUCUCCCGCGCCCCUCAAUCCCAGAUCCCCGUCUCCAAGUUACCCUCUUCCUCCCUCAGAUCUCGAUCCGUCGUCCACCAUCGAUGACCCUCCCUAUAGACGAGAUCGAGCUCCUCCCUCCUCCUGUUCUCCCCCAGCCUUAUCCGCUCCGAGCCAACCAACCACCCUGUCCUUGGGAUUUUGCCGCGCGGCGCCUCGUCUCGCCGGCCUGGCGACCACAGGCAGGCAGUCCACGGCCAGGAUGGCGGCGUGCCCCGCCGCGACCACGUACACGCACAACACUCCGCGCCUCCCCUCCCUCUCCUGCGGUUCCUAACAGACGCACUCGUUGCGGUCGGCGUCCCCGGAGUUGGCGCAGGAGGGGCUGGCCGGCGUCCCCCGUCGACGUCCUCCUCCCUCUUGUCCUGCGUGAUCUGGAGGGGGAUGGAGCGGGCGGCCAUCAUCUGAGGCUAGGCCACGUCGGACCGGGAGGGGACCAUGGCGCCGCCCCAUCGCGGUUGUCCUCGUUCACCUCUGCUCCAGCAGCGUUGCCUUAGGAGAUGGGGGCCAUAGACCUUGGGAACCCGCUCCUCAACCGCACCGUCGACGGCUUCCUCAAGAUCGGCGCCGUGUUGUUGCUGGGGUGUAUGUAGGCAUGGAGUAUGGAGUGGAAAGGGCCAGUGGUGACUGUGACUCGUCCAGAAUGGGGCGUGGGAGAAGCUGCCGGCCGGCGGAUCUGUGUGAAAGCCACCAUUGAGAGGAACAAAAAGGCCAACCAUGACACAUCCAACUCUAGCACGGUUGCAGAAGUCAAUGCCCACGUAACAUCAUGUCAUUCUUUCACUCUACAGCAAUUGCUUGAAUUGACACCCAAGAUGUGAUCUUUUGCUAUCUUAGGAGAACCUGGUGUGCUAUAUGGGGAAGCAAAGCAGCAACCCACAACUCAACUUGUGACUCCAGAUGAAGGCACCACGACGCACCAUGAUUAUCCAUUGGAAGGGCUUCCGAGUUUGCACCCCGCCGUCCGGACGGAGCAAGGAGGGGUCAUCGUCCACACCGUGGAGUUGGUUGAGCCUUGAGUGCGACCUGGAGAAGUAGGGCAUUGUCUGGGGUCAUCUCUUCCUUUUGCCGUGCUGGGAUACUUGGUUGUACCCCGGGGAGUUGGUUGAGCCUUGAGUGCGACCUGGAGAAGUAGGGCAUUGUCUGGGGUCAUCUCUUCCUUUUGCCGUGGUAAGAAAUGAGCGCCACUCUUUGUCGUGCAUGUAUCGAAAUGGCAGAAAUGUUGAAUACAUGUUUGCUCUCAGCUGGGAUACUUGGUUGUACUUAGUUAUGUGAUUUAUUCAUGUUCGUGCUGCUUGUUAAGUGAUUAUCUGUAUGUCAUUGCUACCCCGUUGCAUAUCUCUCUUUUCUUGUGUGCUGCAUUGUAGAUAUGCUUGAUGGAGUGAAUGCUUUCAGUUCUGGUUGUGUCAAAUCUUUACUAUGUCCCAUGCUUAGUGUUUACUAUAUUGAGGCAUUGGCCAUCGGAAUUUCGGCGUGUAUGUAUAAUUUUAGUUCUGGAUGUGUCCAAUGCAAACAUUACUAUCAACUGUUAAAUUGAUUCUAAAAUUUCUCAUUAACUUCAUUUCAGACGAUGAUUUCUGGAUUUGGUACCAAUUUAUUGUUGGCAUGCAUGUGCUAUGUACCUUGCUUUGGUUUUAUGUAGCAAGUGCCUUAGUACCUUUUCUGUCAUGUGGUGUCCAUGGAUUGAAAUGUUGGCUGUUAUAUAUUGAUUGUAGUAUCGAAAAUGCCUCAAACCUGAAAUACUUAAAAUAGAUUGUUGUUCCUUUCUUGUUAGUUUUGAUACCCAUAUACCUGCCUUGUAUUAGCUCUUUCCUUUCGUGCAUGUUAAUUCAGUGUUUGUGUUGAUUUGAUGCCAAUGUUCAAAAACAAGAUUUUUAUGGAUGGGUUUAUGUGUUCUGCUGGUAUAUAUGCACACAGAAUGGCCUUCAUUAUUUUUGUAUCUGCUGUUAGAUUUGCUUUUAUUUUGUUUCUAACCAUUUUGUUCUAUAACAUGCACAUGCUGGCCUUUCAUGUUUUGUCGCGAGCAACAAGACGAAGAAGUCGGAAGAAGCAUAGUUCUAGCUCAUUGGAGCUAGUUCAAGGAGUAAUGAAGCCCUUGAUGCUGAUCUGUUGGAACAAACUGAAGCACGAACUUGGCUCAUGUGAUCCACUUGUAGAGCUUAUUAUACUGUGAUCGCAUUUGUAUGUGUGAUCACAUUUGUAUGUGUGUUAGAUGAUGUAACAUAUUGCUUCUUGUUAUUUGAAGUAUUACAUCUGUUUUCUGUCUA